UACGUAGGGUGCAGGCGUUAAUCGGAAUUACUGGGCGUAAAGCGUGCGCAGGCGGUUUGCUAAGACAGGUGUGAAAUCCCCGGGCUUAACCUGGGAACUGCGCUUGUUACUGGCAGGCUUGAGUGUGGCAGAGGGGGGUGGAAUUCCACGUGUAGCAGUGAAAUGCGUAGAGAUGUGGAGGAACACCGAUGGCGAAGGCAGCCCCCUGGGCUAACACUGGCGCUCAUGCACGAAAGCGUGGGGAGCAAACAGG
This 253-nucleotide ribosomal RNA is filed under the name uncultured bacterium. RNAcentral describes it as "partial 16S ribosomal RNA". It matches the Rfam family "Bacterial small subunit ribosomal RNA", at positions 524 to 776 of the family's 1533-position model. The record is from RNAcentral.